This 253-nucleotide unclassified non-coding RNA is filed under the name uncultured fungus. Its description in RNAcentral is "sequence contains ITS1". The stretch from base 1 to 103 matches the Rfam family "5.8S ribosomal RNA", at positions 50 to 154 of the family's 154-position model. The record is from RNAcentral. Lineage: Eukaryota; Fungi.
GAAGUGCGAUAAGCAAUGCGAAUUGCAGAACCGUGAGUCAUCAGAUUUUUGAACGCAACUGGCGCUGGCUGGGUCUCCAGCCAGCAUGCUUGUUUCAGUGUCUUGUUUUCUCCUCACCCAAACCUUAAUGCGAGAGAUACCCUUCUCUUGUCAAGCACUGACAGCGUGAGCUGACAGCCUCUGCUCUCAAUGAGUUCACAUUAAAAGAAAUGUGACGGCUGCAUUGAGUGCGACUCCCGAACUAGUCAAGAAG